UACUAUGAAUAGUGUGUAUUUUAACCACGUUUUAGUGGAUCGAGUGUAUCGCUGCCUUUGGAAUAAACAAACAUUAAGUUAGUAACAUGGAGAGAAAAUCGGAUUCGAAAAAGCAGGGUCAAUACUGAGGCGUGGAAUGAGGAAGAAUCGCAGUAACUCAAGCUGAGCGGUCGCUAGGGUCGCUAGGCGCAGGCGCUAAACCGAGCUGAGUACGACGCGUGGGUGGCGCCUACCGGCUGCAACUCAACUAAACAGAACCCGUCGCAUGGGUCAAUACUGAGGCGUGGAAUGAGGAAGAAUCGCAGUAACUCAAGCUGAGCGGUCGCUAGGGUCGCUAGGCGCAGGCGCUAAACCGAGCUGAGUACGACGCGUGGGUGGCGCCUACCGGCUGCAACUCAACUAAACAGAACCCGUCGCAUGGGUCGAUACUGAGGCGUGGAAUGAGGAAGAAUCGCAGUAACUCAAGCUGAGCGGUCGCUAGGGUCGCUAGGGUCAAUACUGAGGCGUGGAAUGAGGAAGAAUCGCAGUAACUCAGCCGAGCGGUCGCUAGGGUCGCUAGAUGCAGUAGAACGAAGAAGAAGCUGGCAACUUGAAUGCAAGUGUGCAUUAGAUGGCGCCACCAUAGCUUUGCCCGGACAAGAGUUUUGCUCUAUGAGAUUUGACUUCUAAUAUUAAAAUACUUGGACCGAUUCAGGGAGAAGAACGCGCUUUAUCAGCACACUCACGCUCCUUUGAAAGCAAAAGCAUAAUAUUAUUGUUAAUGUAUUUUUUUUUCUAGUAUGUAACUUGUAACGUAAUGUAACGUGUGUUGUCAUGUAACUACUGAAUUUUUGAUUGACAAAUAAGUUAUCAGUUAGUUAGUUGUAUUAGGUAAUUAAUUUAAUUGAAAUUGUGCACACAUGCUCCCGCAAUUUGGCAAUAUCAACAACGUUUAUUAAAGUUUUUCGAAUGCAUAUCGCAAAUGUCAGAAUAUUCUGUUCAUAAAAGUUAUGGAUUGUCAUGCCUUUUUCCAAUGACCCUUAUUUAGGGUAAAGUAACACCAAACAAAGUAUUUGUGAGACAGUUUAACCUUUUGGCCGCCAGAGACUUAAACGGAAAAUCGUGACCACGACGCCACUUUUAUGUUAGCAUAAUUUCUUUACCCAUCCUUAAUUUACCCCCGUGGCGUCAGUGGCACGGUUUUCCGUUGACGUCAUUUGCUGUAUUUGGCGUUCAAAAGGUUAAAAACAUAAAAUUUACCAUAAAUUAAGACCCAUAAAAUUGUAAACAUCUGCGGCGAUUUAUGAUGAUUGUGUUAACUAAACGUAACAUAAGCAUUUGUAAAUGUAAUCAAUUUUAGCAUAUUACUUACCAAAACUCACCUGUGCUAUUCCAUUUCCCUGUUAUCCCCAAUCGUGCUGGUAGCAGCGAAGUGCAAUGCUUUCUACCUUUCCCCAAAAUCUCAGUCCUGCGAGUGCGAGGUGCAAAAUGUAAGUAUUUAUCAAAAAGGGACGGCUGUUUCGCAGGCUAGAUAAUGUUUCCUCCUCUCUUGUACUAGGCCGACUAGUACUCCGAUGCGCCUAUCUCCUCCUUCCUUAUAUCCGUAGCUAGUUAUCAGAAAAAUAAAAAAUAAAUCAUCCGUUUGUUUUUCUUAUGCAACAGGCGUUUAAAGGAGGUCAAAAAAGACAAGUGGCGUGGGUAACAAUUUGAGGCGAAGUAUUUUUUGACUCAGUUAAACAC
This 1719-nucleotide long non-coding RNA is filed under the name Leguminivora glycinivorella. RNAcentral describes it as "uncharacterized LOC125229932, transcript variant X2". Lineage: Eukaryota; Metazoa; Arthropoda; Insecta; Lepidoptera; Tortricidae. The record is from RNAcentral.